UACGUAGGACGCAAGCGUUGUCCGGAAUCACUGGGCGUAAAGCGCGUGUAGGCGGACCUGCAAGUCUGCUGUGAAAGCCCUCGGCUUAACUGGGGGAGGUCGGUGGAAACUGCAGGUCUGGAGGCCGGUAGAGGGGGGUGGAAUUCCCGGUGUAGUGGUGAAAUGCGUAGAGAUCGGGAGGAACACCUGUGGCGAAGGCGGCCCCCUGGGCCGCGCCUGACGCUGAGACGCGAAAGCGCGGGGAGCGAACGGG
RNAcentral lists this ribosomal RNA (253 nucleotides) under uncultured bacterium. RNAcentral's name for it is "partial 16S ribosomal RNA". It matches the Rfam family "Bacterial small subunit ribosomal RNA", at positions 524 to 776 of the family's 1533-position model. The record is from RNAcentral.